RNAcentral lists this ribosomal RNA (317 nucleotides) under uncultured bacterium. Its description in RNAcentral is "bacterial SSU rRNA". It matches the Rfam family "Bacterial small subunit ribosomal RNA", at positions 15 to 336 of the family's 1533-position model. The record is from RNAcentral.
GAUCCUGGCUCAGAUUGAACGCUGGCGGCAUGCCUUACACAUGCAAGUCGAACGGCAGCACGGGCUUCGGUCUGGUGGCGAGUGGCGAACGGGUGAGUAAUAUAUCGUCAUACCCUAGAGUGGGGGAUAACGUAGCGAAAGUUACGCUAAUACCGCAUACGAACUAAGGUUGAAAGUGGGGGAUCGCAAGACCUCAUGCUCAUGGAGUGGCCGAUAUCUGAUUAGCUAGUUGGUGAGGUAAAGGCUCACCAAGGCGACGAUCAGUAGCUGGUCUGAGAGGACGACCAGCCACACUGGAACUGAGACACGGUCCAGAC